Molecule: non-coding RNA, 75 nt
Organism: Myotis davidii
Lineage: Eukaryota; Metazoa; Chordata; Mammalia; Chiroptera; Vespertilionidae
Source: Rfam
GGUGGUUCUUGGGUGAUGCACUCCGAAAUCAGGCUCCCUCCUCUCUGGUUCUGGGUGUGUCACCUGAGAACCGCA